Molecule: ribosomal RNA, 143 nt
Filed under: Parazoarcus communis SWub3 = DSM 12120
Lineage: Bacteria; Pseudomonadati; Pseudomonadota; Betaproteobacteria; Rhodocyclales; Zoogloeaceae
Description: Azoarcus communis SWub3 = DSM 12120 partial 16S ribosomal RNA
Rfam family: Bacterial small subunit ribosomal RNA
Source: RNAcentral
AAGAUUAAACUGAAGAGUUUGAUCAUGGCUCAGAUUGAACGCUGGCGGCAGGCUUAACACAUGCAAGUCGAACGAAGUUAGGAAGCUUGCUUCUGAUACUUAGUGGCGGACGGGUGAGUAAUGCUUAGGAAUCUGCCUAGUAG